UAGGGAAUCUUCCGCAAUGGGCGAAAGCCUGACGGAGCAACGCCGCGUGAGUGAUGAAGGUCUUCGGAUCGUAAAACUCUGUUAUUAGGGAAGAACAAAUGUGUAAGUAACUAUGCACGUCUUGACGGUACCUAAUCAGAAAGCCACGGCUAACUACGUGCCAGCAGCCGCGGUAAUACGUAGGUGGCAAGCGUUAUCCGGAAUUAUUGGGCGUAAAGCGCGCGUAGGCGGUUUUUUAAGUCUGAUGUGAAAGCCCACGGCUCAACCGAGGAGGGUCAUUGGAAACUGGAAAACUUGAGUGCAGAAGAGGAAAGUGGAAUUCCAUGUGUAGCAGUGAAAUGCGCAGAGAUAUGGAGGAACACCAGUGGCGAAGGCGACUUUCUGGUCUGUAACUGACGCUGAUGUGCGAAAGCGUGGGGAUCAAACAGG
Molecule: ribosomal RNA, 429 nt
Filed under: Actinomycetes bacterium
Lineage: Bacteria; Bacillati; Actinomycetota; Actinomycetes
Description: Actinobacteria bacterium partial 16S ribosomal RNA
Rfam family: Bacterial small subunit ribosomal RNA
Source: RNAcentral